GAUGAAGAACGUAGCGAAAUGCGAUACUUGGUGUGAAUUGCAGAAUCCCGUGAACCAUCGAGUCUUUGAACGCAAGUUGCGCCCGAAGCCACUAGACCGAGGGCACGCCUGCCUGGGCGUCACACGUCGUUGCCCCCCACCAUCUACUCCUUCGGGAUUGCGGGGGGCGGAUGAUGGCCUCCCGUGCGCCUAGCCGCGCGGUUGGCAUAAAUACCAAGUCCUCGGCGACGCACGCCACGACAAUCGGUGGUUGCGAAACCUCGGUUGCCCGUCGUGUGCGUUCGUCGCGCAUCGAGGGCUCGAAAAAAUCCUCGGCUCCGGCUCGGCUUUCAACGCGACCCCAGGUCAGGCGGGGUUACCCGCUGAAUUUAAGCAUAUCAAUAAGCGGAGGA
This 392-nucleotide unclassified non-coding RNA is filed under the name soil metagenome. RNAcentral's name for it is "partial contains 5.8S ribosomal RNA, internal transcribed spacer 2, and large subunit ribosomal RNA". The stretch from base 1 to 122 matches the Rfam family "5.8S ribosomal RNA", at positions 35 to 154 of the family's 154-position model. The record is from RNAcentral.